Molecule: long non-coding RNA, 240 nt
Filed under: Mus spicilegus (steppe mouse)
Lineage: Eukaryota; Metazoa; Chordata; Mammalia; Rodentia; Muridae
Description: lncRNA (ENSMSIG00000025647.1)
Source: RNAcentral
CUGAUAGUAGGAUGAGGCUGAAGAGUGUAGGCUGAGUGCAGGAGCUGUAGGUGUCCAGCAUACUGAGUUUCUCAUGGAGAUCCAGAAAGGAACCACACACUGAAGACCUCCAAAAAAGUCAGGAAUGUCCCAGGUCUUACUGCUCAGUUCUUGAGUAAUCAUUCGGAUUUGAGGUUAGUAAUUUUCUGCUAUCUCAUGUUCAUCAGGAGAAAUGUAUCUUAUUUGUUCUUCCCAUUUCCC